AAGUAUGUUGUGGUAAGGCAGAGGUCUAACAGUGUGCAGAUCUGAUUGGGUGUGAAGUUGGUCCUGUCUUCCAAGGAGCUGUCUUCUUGUAGUCGUUUUCUGACAGUCUCCACAGCCUCCGUGGUGGAUAUGCAAGUGAAGAGAGAGACUACAUCAAAGGACACCAUGGUUUCAUCUGGAUCCAGGGUAAGUUUCUGGACCUUGUCGGUGAAGUCGGUGGAGUUCUUGAUGUGGUGUGGGGUGUUCCCCACGAGAGGUGCAAGGAUGGUAGCAAGGUGUUUUGCAAUGUUAUAAGUGGCUGAGUUUAUUCUACUGACUAUGGGUCGGAGUGGGACAUCUUCCUUGUGGAUUUUAGGAAGUCCGUAAAUGCAGGGUAUGGUAUCCCCUGGAUAAAGGCGGUGAUAUGUAAGGCGGUCAAUGAUUUUUCAAGGUCCUGAAGGCAAGCUAUAACUUUCUUUUUGUAGCUGCUUGUGGGGUCUCGUUUUAAGGCUUUGUAGGUAUGGUUGUCACCGAGGAGAGUAGUAAUCUUUGUGUGGUAAUCUGUAAUGUUUAGGACCACCGUUGUCGACAUAGUGGACAGAAUUCCCAACAUUCUGGCAUCCCACCCACAGGCCAACUGGCUCAUCAUCCACAUCGGCACCAAUGACAUCCCCAAACAGCAAUAUGAGCUGCUGAGGCUUCAGCCUCCUUUGUCAGUAGCAGGAAGUGAUGCAGAUGCAGUCUACAGCAGUGAGAACAUAUGAAGAUGUCAGUGAUGGACAAAUAGCCAACAGACCAAAUGGCACGAGAGGUGCAGUAGUCCACCAGUCCAACUGCCGCAAUCCAGCUGCUUGUCUCUAACUGACUCCCCCAACACCUCAGACCAGAGGACAUCAUAAUGUUCAAAAUUGAGCUUGACUCCAUCCUCAACCCGAAAAGGCCCCACAAGCUCAUCUUUGAUGAUACCAGCCCAAACCAGUACUCCACCUCCACCUUGCUGGCGUCUGAGUGGGACUGGAGCUCUCUGCCCUUUACCAAUCCAGCCACGGGCCCAUCCAUCUGGCCCAUCAAGACUCACUCUCAUUUCAUCAGUCCAUAAAACCUUAGAAAAACCAGUCUUGAGGUAUUUCUUAGCCCAGUCUUGACGUUUCAGCUUGUGUGUCUUGUUCAGUGGUGGUCGUCUUUCAGCCUUUCUUACCUUGGCCAUGUCUCUGAGUAUUGCACAAUGUUAGAUUAUAAUAUUAUUUUAUGCCAUGUUAGACCCCUAAUUAAAGAUUGUGAAUUAUUAUGUAGUUUUAGUUUGCAUUAUUCUCC
This is a long non-coding RNA of Astatotilapia calliptera (eastern happy), 1293 nucleotides long. NCBI's taxonomy places the organism in Eukaryota, Metazoa, Chordata, Actinopteri, Cichliformes, Cichlidae. The record is from Ensembl.